GGGUGUGUAGCUCAGUGGUAGACCACAUGCCUAGCAUGCACGAGGUCUUAGGUUCAAUCCCCAGUAUCUCCA
This 72-nucleotide transfer RNA is filed under the name Camelus bactrianus (Bactrian camel). It matches the Rfam family "tRNA". Rfam says of the family: Transfer RNA (tRNA) molecules are approximately 80 nucleotides in length. RNAcentral also lists the same sequence under 2 other names. The record is from Rfam by way of RNAcentral. Lineage: Eukaryota; Metazoa; Chordata; Mammalia; Artiodactyla; Camelidae.